This 446-nucleotide ribosomal RNA is filed under the name uncultured bacterium. Its description in RNAcentral is "bacterial SSU rRNA". It matches the Rfam family "Bacterial small subunit ribosomal RNA", at positions 28 to 454 of the family's 1533-position model. The record is from RNAcentral.
GAUGAACGCUGGCGGCGUGCUUAAUACAUGCAAGUCGAACGAAGCACCUUGGACAGAAUCCUUCGGGAGGAAGACCAUUGUGACUGAGUGGCGGACGGGUGAGUAACGCGUGGGUAACCUGCCUUGUACAGGGGGAUAACAGCUGGAAACGACUGCUAAUACCGCAUAAGCGCACAGUACCGCAUGGUACGGUGUGAAAAACUCCGGUGGUACAAGAUGGACCCGCGUCUGAUUAGCUGGUUGGUGAGGUAACGGCCCACCAAGGCGACGAUCAGUAGCCGACUUGAGAGAGUGAUCGGCCACAUUGGGACUGAGACACGGCCCAAACUCCUACGGGAGGCAGCAGUAGGGAAUAUUGCACAAUGGGGGAAACCCUGAUGCAGCGACGCCGCGUGAAGGAAGAAGUAUUUCGGUAUGUAAACUUCUAUCAGCAAGGAAGGAAAUGA